GGUUGAUCCUGCCAGUAGUCAUAUGCUUGUCUCAAAGAUUAAGCCAUGCAUGUCUAAGUAUAAGCUUGUUUAUACGGCGAGACUGCGGAUGGCUCAUUAAAUCAGUUAUAGUUUAUUUGAUGGUCUCUUUUUUUCUUUUUUUACCUACUUGGAUAACCGUGGUAAUUCUAGAGCUAAUACAUGCGCAAGGUCCCAAGCGCGGGAUGAAAGGUGUAAAAAGCCUUUUGUCUGCAUGUGCAGCGGGAUGUAUUUAUUAGGUUAAAAACCAGCACAUUUCAAAAAAA
RNAcentral lists this ribosomal RNA (284 nucleotides) under uncultured eukaryote. RNAcentral's name for it is "partial 18S ribosomal RNA". It matches the Rfam family "Eukaryotic small subunit ribosomal RNA", at positions 6 to 240 of the family's 1831-position model. The record is from RNAcentral.